Physeter macrocephalus (sperm whale) is the source of this 594-nucleotide long non-coding RNA. RefSeq lists it as uncharacterized. The record is from RefSeq and is a predicted model, not a curated record. The transcript has 3 exons. NCBI's taxonomy places the organism in Eukaryota, Metazoa, Chordata, Mammalia, Artiodactyla, Physeteridae.
CCAAGCCUCCUGCAGCGCGAUUACUAGGCGCGCAGAGAGGAAAAAGAAGGCUGUGUUUUUCUCUGGUGUCCCCGCGUGAUGGGUAGGAGCUCAAUGGCAAACGUCGCUAGUCCUGGAAACAGGCAAGGAAAGAGGAAAAGAAUCCAUUCACUACACCAAAUUCAGGAUGAAGAUUCUGCCCGUAGAGCGCUCCUGACCACCUUUUCUUUGGUGCUGCCUGAUUCAAAUCAAGGAAAAGAAGAAAUUCAGAGUGAGAAGCCUGGAAGACACCAUCUUAUUCAAGUGAUCACAAUUAACAUCAUCCAUAAUCGGACAAAUUGAAGUCACCUAUCAUCUGUUAUGAUACAAUAAGGACACAGCAUCACUUCUGUGAUAUUUCAUGAUAUACAGAAUCCACAACUUGCAUCUAAUCUAUGAUGCAUGGUCUGAACCUAAUUGAGAGGAAACAUCAGACAAACCUAAACUGAGGGACAUUCCCCAAAGCAACUGCCCUGCCUCUUCAAAAGAGUCCAGGUCACGAGAGCAAAACAAAGACUGGGGAAUGUUCCAGACUGAAGGAGACUCAAGAGACAGGACCAUUACAUGCAACAUGAG